UGUCUACUAAUUAUAGACCUGUAUGAAAGGCAAAAUGNGGGUCUAACUGUCUCUUAUAAUGAAUCAAUUAAACUGAUCUCCUAGUAAAAAAGCUAGGAUUCCCUCAUAAGACCAGAAGACCCUGUGAAGCUUAAACUAAAUUAUUAAACCCUAUAAUAACCACUUUCGGUUGGGGCGACCUUGGAAAAAAAAAGAACUUCCCAACAAACCAUGACUACCACACUACUAUACUAGGCCUACAAGCCAACAAAUGACCCAGUAUAACUGAUCACCGAACCAAGUUACUCCAGGGAUAACAGCGCAAUCCUCUUCAAGAGCCCAUAUCAAAAAGAGGGUUUACGACCUCGAUGUUGGAUCAGGACAUCCUAAUGGUGCAGCCGCUAUUAAGGGUUCGUUUGUUCAACGAUUAAUAGU
RNAcentral lists this ribosomal RNA (414 nucleotides) under Chironius carinatus. RNAcentral's name for it is "partial 16S ribosomal RNA". It matches the Rfam family "Bacterial large subunit ribosomal RNA", at positions 1970 to 2594 of the family's 2925-position model. The record is from RNAcentral. Lineage: Eukaryota; Metazoa; Chordata; Lepidosauria; Squamata; Colubridae.